This is a long non-coding RNA of Mizuhopecten yessoensis (Yesso scallop), 1428 nucleotides long. RefSeq lists it as uncharacterized. The record is from RefSeq and is a predicted model, not a curated record. NCBI's taxonomy places the organism in Eukaryota, Metazoa, Mollusca, Bivalvia, Pectinida, Pectinidae. The transcript has 2 exons.
GAGUAUUUUAUGGGGGUAGAUGAGUAUUUUAUGACUGCAGGAAUAGGGUAGAUGGGUAUUUUAUGGGGGUAGACGAGUAUUUUUAUGACUGCAGUAUAGUAAAUGGGUAUUUUAUGGGGGAAGAUGAGUAUUUUAUGACUGCAGUAUAGGGUAGAUGGGUAUUUUAUGAGGGUAGAUGAGUAUUUUAUGACUGCAGUAUACGGUAGAUGGGUAUUGUAUGGGGGUAGAUGAGUAUUUUAUAGGGGGUAGAUGGGUAUUUUUAUGACUGCAGUAUAGGGUAGAUGGUUAUUUUAUGACUACAGUAUAGGGUAGAUGGUUAUUUUAUAGGGCGUAGAUAGGUAUUUUAUGACUACAGUAUAGGGUAGAUGGUUAUUUUAUUGAGGUGGAUGAGUAUUUAAGGGCUACGGUAUAGGGUAGAUGGUAUUUUAUGGGGGUAGAUGGGUAUUUUAUGACUACAGUAUAGGGUAGAUGGUUAUUUGAUAGGGGGUAGAUAGAAUACACUUUACAAAAUUCAGCAUUCAGAGUACCAAUGCCAGUUGCAUUUAAAUGGUUUUAAAACGUGUAUUUCUUUGUUUUAACAAUCAUGUAUUAUAAGGCUGCUUAUUUUCAUGUGUAAAGCUGAGCCACACAUGUGUGCUGGUCAGCAUGCAGUGUCACCUAUCUCUCACCUGUAUUGAUAAGCCCCAACAGGUGACACCCUGUGUAUUAUAAUUACCUGGAUAGACAUAUACGAACUAUUUUUUUAUGUAAAAAGUUUUGAUAAAUUUUAGGGGGGAUGAAUAUUUUAUGGGGGGAUGAGUAUUUAAUGAAUUAAAUAUUCAUCCGGAUGAGUAUUUUAUGGGGAUGGAAUUUUUAUAGGACACCGGGACUGAACUGGACGGGUUUUUAAAUGUUAGCAAGUUUCACUACUUUUAGCCUCACUGUCGGACCUCUGGUUUCCUCAAGGUAACAGAAGCAUUCUUAAAUGGUCAUUGUUUACAGACAUACCACGGACAACACCCUCGGUACGCCAGGGGAUACGCUAACUCACGUUCUCUGCAACCCUGUAAUAAUACAGGACAAACUCGAAGGCUUGAUGUACGUCAUAUUGUGGAUGAGUCCGGAAGAUAAGUGUGAUCAUGGGAUGUACAUCAAAAUAAUAUGUGGCCGCGUAAGGUAAAAUUGACAGGCUUUGAAAUAAGGUGUCGCUCUUGUGUAAUCUUUAAAACACAGGUGCUAGCCUAGCGAUUGGUCAGAAUAUUUUACCUUAGACCAAUGAAAGAGCUAGCCGCAUGUCUUUAAUUUUGCUAUGACAUAUUCCCAGGUUGGAGAGAUGGUAAGAUAGCUUACCCCUCGAGUGUCAAGGAUACACGGACAACAGGCGACACACGACCACAGACAACAAUGAAUGAGAAAUCAUAUGAAUUAUUUAACGACCUACAUUUAAAA